AUUGAACGCUGGCGGCAGGCCUAACACAUGCAAGUCGAGCGAGCGGCGGACGGGUGAGUAAUGUCUGGGGACUGCCCGAUAGAGGGGGAUAACUACUGGAAACGGUGGCUAAUACCGCAUACUAUCGGAUAACCCAUAUGGGAUUAGCUAGUAGGUGGGGUAAAGGCUCACUUAGGCGACGAUCUCUAGCUGGUCGGAGAGGAUGAUCAGCCGACCUGGGACUGAGACACGGACCAGACUCCUACGGAGGCAGCAGUGGGGAAUAUUGCACAAUGGGCGCAAGCCGGAUGCAGCCAUGCCGCGUGGAUGAAGAAGGCCUUAGGGUUGUAAAGUACUUUCAGCGGGGAGGCGUUACCCGCAGAAGAAGCACCGGCUAACUCCGUGCCAGCCGCCGCGGUAAUUC
RNAcentral lists this ribosomal RNA (403 nucleotides) under uncultured bacterium. Its description in RNAcentral is "partial 16S ribosomal RNA". It matches the Rfam family "Bacterial small subunit ribosomal RNA", at positions 30 to 526 of the family's 1533-position model. The record is from RNAcentral.